This 957-nucleotide long non-coding RNA is filed under the name Ovis aries (sheep). Its description in RNAcentral is "lncRNA (ENSOARG00000026426.1)". Lineage: Eukaryota; Metazoa; Chordata; Mammalia; Artiodactyla; Bovidae. The record is from RNAcentral.
GCUAUUAAGGAAUCCCUUAAAAGAAUUCAAAAAGUAGAGCGGAGACUUGAUUUAGAUUUUUGUCUAGUUCAAAAUGUGAGCUGCCUAAUAUAGUUGCUUUUGUAAUUAAGAAAAAACAGCCAAUGACAUCACCAGUGUACACGUAAAGCACUUUUGAAAAUAAAAGGAAAAUACUUGAAUCAGAGAGCAUGACAAUGGAAUAUCAUCUGUGGUCAUCCAGAUGUCUAAAUAAUCUCUAUAGUUUCACUGCAUACUGUUCAUUAUUAGCAUCCCAAUUUCAUAGUGUUACAGUGUUGUGUUGUUUUGUUUUGCUUUUAGUUUUUUUACUCCCCUAAAGGCCUUAGCCAAACUUCUUGUCCUUAUUUUGGGCCACUUGCGAAAAAACACCUCUUUCUUCUCUCUCCUAAAUUUAAAAGAGUGAAGGCUGCACCUCAUAACAGUUCAGUUGGCACAGCAGAAAUAUUACUCACUCCAUCUAUUGCCUGAGUUUCCACAAUGAUUUCUGCAGUCCUCUGAAUUUCAGGAAAAAUGUUUUUCAGAAUGUAUCUGAGAUAUCAGUCACAUGGUUUCUGCCUGAGGAAACAAUCCAGUGUCAUCCUUAUGCUGUUCCCUGCUGGCAAAGAACAAAGUUGACUUCAAAAGAAAAUCAUUGUCUUGAGCCAUUUCUAGUAUGGAAGACCAAAGAGCAUUUUUUUCAACAGUGUUUUUCAAAAGGGCUAUUUUACAUUAACAGGCCUUGGUAUCACACCAACUGUGGUUAUAGAAAGAGUCAGCACCCCACGACAAAAGCCUCAAAGAAAAAGUCUUGAAUCUAACCUCCAACUUAUUGAGUUUGAUAGACUGUGUUUGUGUAAUUAAAUACAUUACAGAUUAGAUCUGUCAAAAUGUAUAAUCCUUAAUGAGAACAAUGCAGGAUGACAACAUGGGAGCUAUUAAGCUAUUGGUCCUAGAAACUCC